Molecule: ribosomal RNA, 253 nt
Filed under: uncultured bacterium
Lineage: Bacteria
Description: partial 16S ribosomal RNA
Rfam family: Bacterial small subunit ribosomal RNA
Source: RNAcentral
UACGUAGGGUGCAAGCGUUGUCCGGAAUUAUUGGGCGUAAAGAGCUCGUAGGCGGUUUGUUGCGUCGGCUGUGAAAACCUGAGGCUCAACCUCAGGCCUGCAGUCGAUACGAGCAGACUAGAGUGUUGCAGGGGAGACUGGAAUUCCUGGUGUAGCGGUGAAAUGCGCAGAUAUCAGGAGGAACACCGGUGGCGAAGGCGGGUCUCUGGGCCGUAACUGACGCUGAGGUGCGAAAGCGUGGGGAGCAAACAGG